GAUGAACGCUGGCGGCGUGCCUAACACAUGCAAGUCGAGCGAACAGAUGAGGAGCUUGCUCCUCUGACGUUAGCGGCGGACGGGUGAGUAACACGUGGAUAACCUACCUAUAAGACUGGGAUAACUUCGGGAAACCGGAGCUAAUACCGGAUAAUAUAUUGAACCGCAUGGUUCAAUAGUGAAAGACGGUUUUGCUGUCACUUAUAGAUGGAUCCGCGCCGCAUUAGCUAGUUGGUAAGGUAACGGCUUACCAAGGCAACGAUGCGUAGCCGACCUGAGAGGGUGAUCGGCCACACUGGAACUGAGGCACGGUCCAGACUCCUACGGGAGGCAGCAGUAGGGAAUCUUCCGCAAUGGGCGAAAGCCUGACGGAGCAACGCCGCGUGAGUGAUGAAGGUCUUCGGAUCGUAAAACUCUGUUAUUAGGGAAGAACAAAUGUGUAAGUAACUAUGCACGUCUUGACGGUACCUAAUCAGAAAGCCACGGCUAACUACGUG
This 497-nucleotide ribosomal RNA is filed under the name uncultured bacterium. RNAcentral describes it as "partial 16S ribosomal RNA". It matches the Rfam family "Bacterial small subunit ribosomal RNA", at positions 28 to 507 of the family's 1533-position model. The record is from RNAcentral.